UACGUAGGGUGCAAGCGUUAAUCGGAAUUACUGGGCGUAAAGCGUGCGCAGGCGGUGAUGUAAGACAGAUGUGAAAUCCCCGGGCUCAACCUGGGAACUGCAUUUGUGACUGCAUCGCUGGAGUACGGCAGAGGGGGAUGGAAUUCCGCGUGUAGCAGUGAAAUGCGUAGAGAUGCGGAGGAACACCGAUGGCGAAGGCAGCCCCCUGGGUCGACACUGACGCUCAGGCACGAAAGCGUGGGGAGCAAACAGG
This 253-nucleotide ribosomal RNA is filed under the name uncultured bacterium. RNAcentral describes it as "partial 16S ribosomal RNA". It matches the Rfam family "Bacterial small subunit ribosomal RNA", at positions 524 to 776 of the family's 1533-position model. The record is from RNAcentral.